RNAcentral lists this ribosomal RNA (496 nucleotides) under uncultured bacterium. RNAcentral describes it as "partial 16S ribosomal RNA". It matches the Rfam family "Bacterial small subunit ribosomal RNA", at positions 29 to 507 of the family's 1533-position model. The record is from RNAcentral.
AUGAACGCUGGCGGCGUGCCUAAUACAUGCAAGUCGAGCGAACGGACGAGAAGCUUGCUUCUCUGAUGUUAGCGGCGGACGGGUGAGUAACACGUGGAUAACCUACCUAUAAGACUGGGAUAACUUCGGGAAACCGGAGCUAAUACCGGAUGAUAUUUUGAACCGCAUGGUUCAAAAGUGAAAGACGGUCUUGCUGUCACUUAUAGAUGGAUCCGCGCUGCAUUAGCUAGUUGGUAAGGUAACGGCUUACCAAGGCAACGAUGCAUAGCCGACCUGAGAGGGUGAUCGGCCACACUGGAACUGAGAUACGGUCCAGACUCCUACGGGAGGCAGCAGUAGGGAAUCUUCCGCAAUGGGCGAAAGCCUGACGGAGCAACGCCGCGUGAGUGAUGAAGGUCUUCGGAUCGUAAAACUCUGUUAUUAGGGAAGAACAUAUGUGUAAGUAACUGUGCACAUCUUGACGGUACCUAAUCAGAAAGCCACGGCUAACUACGUG